RNAcentral lists this ribosomal RNA (709 nucleotides) under uncultured bacterium. RNAcentral describes it as "bacterial SSU rRNA". It matches the Rfam family "Bacterial small subunit ribosomal RNA", at positions 57 to 780 of the family's 1533-position model. The record is from RNAcentral.
GCAAGUCGACGGUGAAGAGGAGCUUGCUUCUUGGAUCAGUGGCGAACGGGUGAGUAACACGUGAGUAACCUGCCCUUGACUCUGGGAUAACUGCUAGAAAUGGUAGCUAAUACCGGAUACGACCCUCGGCCGCAUGGUCAGGGGGUGGAAAGAAUUUUGGUCAAGGAUGGACUCGCGGCCUAUCAGGUAGUUGGUGAGGUAAUGGCUCACCAAGCCUACGACGGGUAGCCGGCCUGAGAGGGUGACCGGCCACACUGGGACUGAGACACGGCCCAGACUCCUACGGGAGGCAGCAGUGGGGAAUAUUGCACAAUGGGCGAAAGCCUGAUGCAGCAACGCCGCGUGAGGGACGACGGCCUUCGGGUUGUAAACCUCUUUUAGUAGGGAAGAAGCGAAAGUGACGGUACCUGCAGAAAAAGCACCGGCUAACUACGUGCCAGCAGCCGCGGUAAUACGUAGGGUGCAAGCGUUGUCCGGAAUUAUUGGGCGUAAAGAGCUCGUAGGCGGUUUGUCGCGUCUGCUGUGAAAUCCGGAGGCUCAACCUCCGGCCUGCAGUGGGUACGGGCAGACUAGAGUGCGGUAGGGGAGAUUGGAAUUCCUGGUGUAGCGGUGGAAUGCGCAGAUAUCAGGAGGAACACCAAUGGCGAAGGCAGAUCUCUGGGCCGUAACUGACGCUGAGGAGCGACAGCAUGGGGAGCGAACAGGAUUA